AGUGAACGCUGGCGGCGUGCCUAAUACAUGCAAGUCGAACGGAGUGUCGCACGGGUGAGUAUUGUAUAUCUAAUCUGCCCUACACUAGAGGACAACAGUUUGAAACGACUUCUAAUAUUCCAUAGUUUAGGUUGAGGCUAUAUUGUAUCAGCUAGUUGGUGAGGUAAUGGCUCACCAAGGCUAUGACGCAUAACUGGUCUGAGAGGAUGAUCAGUCACACUUGCACUGAGAAGCGGUACAGACUCCUAGGGGAUGCAGGAGUAGGGGAUAUUGCUCAAUGGGGGAAGCCAUGAAGGAGCAACGACGCGUGGGGGAUGACACUUUUCAGGACGUAAGCUCCUUUUGUAAGGGAUGCGGUAACUAACGAAUAAGCGCCGGCUAACUCCGUGCCAGCAGCCGCGGUAAUAC
This 408-nucleotide ribosomal RNA is filed under the name uncultured bacterium. RNAcentral describes it as "partial 16S ribosomal RNA". It matches the Rfam family "Bacterial small subunit ribosomal RNA", at positions 29 to 526 of the family's 1533-position model. The record is from RNAcentral.